Molecule: ribosomal RNA, 253 nt
Filed under: uncultured bacterium
Lineage: Bacteria
Description: partial 16S ribosomal RNA
Rfam family: Bacterial small subunit ribosomal RNA
Source: RNAcentral
UACGUAGGUGGCGAGCGUUGUCCGGAUUUAUUGGGCGUAAAGCGCGCGCAGGCGGUGCGGUAAGUCUGUCGUGAAAUCUCCCGGCUCAACUGGGAGGGUGCGGUGGAGACUGCCGGACUAGAGGCACUCAGAGGCCGGUGGAAUUCCCGGUGUAGUGGUGAAAUGCGCAGAUAUCAGGAGGAACACCGGUGGCGAAGGCGGGUCUCUGGGCCGAUACUGACGCUGAGGAGCGAAAGCGUGGGGAGCGAACAGG